RNAcentral lists this long non-coding RNA (240 nucleotides) under Elaeis guineensis (African oil palm). RNAcentral's name for it is "long non-coding RNA (EGUI_LNC037584)". The record is from RNAcentral. Lineage: Eukaryota; Viridiplantae; Streptophyta; Magnoliopsida; Arecales; Arecaceae.
CUGGGCUUUCCUUGUACUCUCUAACUUUGUAGGUAUUUUUAGGGAUAGUAAUACUGAACCAUUUAAUCUAUUUAACAUCGUUCAAAUCAUUAUAAAUUAAUUUAGAUUAUCUAUUUAAUAAAAUGAUUCAAUUUGAACUUAAAUUUUUAAUCAAUUAAAUAAAUAGAAUGAAUUAAGGUUGAUAUAUUUUUCAUCUAUCUUUGAUAUCCAAUUUGAUUUAUAUUUUUUUCAAUCUGAUCC